UUUUUUGCAUAUGAAAGGGUUAAUGUAGAGGAGACUAAGACUGACUCCAUCUUAAAUUCACUGAGAAUUCACCUGCCCUUGAGAAUUGAAAACAACUGACUAGCUUGUUACUCAAAUGUUAUCUCUAGUGAAGGCAUCCCUGUUGGAUAACAGCCAGUCUUCGUAAGCACCUCGGAUUCCAAUAAAAGUCAAAACUACCCCCAAAC
Molecule: long non-coding RNA, 206 nt
Organism: Perognathus longimembris pacificus (Pacific pocket mouse)
Lineage: Eukaryota; Metazoa; Chordata; Mammalia; Rodentia; Heteromyidae
Exons: 3
Source: RefSeq, a predicted model, not a curated record